AAAAAAGGUAAGCUACUAAGAGCGAAUGGUGGAUGCCUUGACUGGUAAAGGCGAUGAAGGACGUACUAGACUGCGAUAAGCUACGGGGAGCUGUCAAGAAGCUUUGAUCCGUAGAUUUCCGAAUGGGGCAACCCAAUGUAUAGAGAUAUACAUUACCUAUAUAGGAGCGAACGAGGGGAAUUGAAACAUCUUAGUACCCUCAGGAAAAGAAAUCAAUAGAGAUUGCGUCAGUAGCGGCGAGCGAAAGCGCAAGAGGGCAAACCCAGUGCUUGCACUGGGGGUUGUAGGACUGCAAUGUGCAAGAGGUAAGUUUAGCAGAACAUUCUGGAAAGUAUAGCCAUAGAGGGUGAUAGUCCCGUAUGCGAAAAACAAACCUUAGCUAGCAGUAUCCUGAGUAGGGCGGGACACGAGGAAUCCUGUCUGAAUCUGGGUCGACCACGAUCCAACCCUAAAUACUAAUACCAGAUCGAUAGUGCACAAGUACCGUGAGGGAAAGGUGAAAAGAACUGAGGUGAUCAGAGUGAAAUAGAACCUGAAACCAUUUGCUUACAAUCAUUCAGAGCCCUAUGUAGCAAUACAGGGUGAUGGACUGCCUUUUGCAUAAUGAGCCUGCGAGUUGUGGUGUCUGGCAAGGUUAAGCAAACGCGAAGCCGUAGCGAAAGCGAGUCUGAAUAGGGCGCUUAGUCAGAUGCUGCAGACCCGAAACGAAGUGAUCUAUCCAUGAGCAAGUUGAAGCUAGUGUAAGAACUAGUGGAGGACUGAACCCAUAGGCGUUGAAAAGCCCCGGGAUGACUUGUGGAUAGGGGUGAAAGGCCAAUCAAACUUCGUGAUAGCUGGUUCUCUCCGAAAUAUAUUUAGGUAUAGCGUUGUGUCGUAAUAUAAGGGGGUAGAGCACUGAAUGGGCUAGGGCAUACACCAAUGUACCAAACCCUAUCAAACUCCGAAUACCUUAUAUGUAAUCACAGCAGUCAGGCGGCGAGUGAUAAAAUCCGUCGUCAAGAGGGAAACAACCCAGACUACCAGCUAAGGUCCCUAAAUCUUACUUAAGUGGAAAACGAUGUGAAGUUACUUAAACAACCAGGAGGUUGGCUUAGAAGCAGCCAUCCUUUAAAGAAAGCGUAAUAGCUCACUGGUCUAGUGAUUUUGCGCGGAAAAUAUAACGGGGCUAAAGUAAGUACCGAAGCUGUAGACUUGCACACAACUUAGAUUAUUUAAGUUUAGAAUAUGAGAAACUAAGUUAUAUGUUUAGUUAUAUUUUUACUGAUUUUUAUAGAGUAAAGAUAGAAAUAAAACUUAGUAAAAUCAGUAAAAAUAUUCUUAGACUAAAGUUAAGUAGUUUAAGUUGUGUGCAAGUGGUAGGAGAGCGUUCUAUUUGCGUCGAAGGUAUACCGGUAAGGAGUGCUGGAGCGAAUAGAAGUGAGCAUGCAGGCAUGAGUAGCGAUAAUUAAUGUGAGAAUCAUUAACGCCGUAAACCCAAGGUUUCCUACGCGAUGCUCGUCAUCGUAGGGUUAGUCGGGUCCUAAGUCGAGUCCGAAAGGGGUAGACGAUGGCAAAUUGGUUAAUAUUCCAAUACCAACAUUAGUGUGCGAUGGAAGGACGCUUAGGGCUAAGGGGGCUAGCGGAUGGAAGUGCUAGUCUAAGGUCGUAGGAGGUUAUACAGGCAAAUCCGUAUAACAAUACUCCGAGAACUGAAAGGCUUUUUGAAGUCUUCGGAUGGAUAGAAGAACCCCUGAUGCCGUCGAGCCAAGAAAAGUUUCUAAGUUUAGCUAAUGUUGCCCGUACCGUAAACCGACACAGGUGGGUGGGAUGAGUAUUCUAAGGCGCGUGGAAGAACUCUCUUUAAGGAACUCUGCAAAAUAGCACCGUAUCUUCGGUAUAAGGUGUGGUUCGCUUCGUAUUAGGAUUUACUCCGAAAGCGAAGAAACUUACAACAAAGAGUCCCUCCCGACUGUUUACCAAAAACACAGCACUCUGCUAACUCGUAAGAGGAUGUAUAGGGUGUGACGCCUGCCCGGUGCUCGAAGGUUAAUUGAUGGGGUUAGCAUUAGCGAAGCUCUUGAUCGAAGCCCGAGUAAACGGCGGCCGUAACUAUAACGGUCCUAAGGUAGCGAAAUUCCUUGUCGGUUAAAUACCGACCUGCAUGAAUGGCGUAACGAGAUGGGAGCUGUCUCAAAGAGGGAUCCAGUGAAAUUGUAGUGGAGGUGAAAAUUCCUCCUACCCGCGGCAAGACGGAAAGACCCCGUGGACCUUUACUACAGCUUGACACUGCUACUUGGAUAAGAAUGUGCAGGAUAGGUGGGAGGCUUUGAGUAUAUGACGCCAGUUGUAUAUGAGCCAUUGUUGAGAUACCACUCUUUCUUAUUUGGGUAGCUAACCAGCUUGAGUUAUCCUCAAGUGGGACAAUGUCUGGUGGGUAGUUUGACUGGGGCGGUCGCCUCCCAAAUAAUAACGGAGGCUUACAAAGGUUGGCUCAGAACGGUUGGAAAUCGUUCGUAGAGUAUAAAGGUAUAAGCCAGCUUAACUGCAAGACAUACAAGUCAAGCAGAGACGAAAGUCGGUCUUAGUGAUCCGGUGGUUCUGUGUGGAAGGGCCAUCGCUCAAAGGAUAAAAGGUACCCCGGGGAUAACAGGCUGAUCUCCCCCAAGAGCUCACAUCGACGGGGAGGUUUGGCACCUCGAUGUCGGCUCAUCGCAUCCUGGGGCUGGAGCAGGUCCCAAGGGUAUGGCUGUUCGCCAUUUAAAGCGGUACGCGAGCUGGGUUCAGAACGUCGUGAGACAGUUCGGUCCCUAUCUGCCGUGGGCGUAAGAAGAUUGAAGAGAUUUGACCCUAGUACGAGAGGACCGGGUUGAACAAACCACUGGUGUAGCUGUUGUUCUGCCAAGAGCAUCGCAGCGUAGCUAAGUUUGGAAAGGAUAAAGGCUGAAAGCAUCUAAGCGUGAAGCCAACUCUAAGAUGAAUCUUCUCUAAGCUCUCUAGAAGACUACUAGUUUGAUAGGCUGGGUGUGUAAUGGAUGAAAGUCCUUUAGCUGACCAGUACUAAUAGAGCGUUUGGCUUAUCUUUAAUAAAGCAU
Molecule: ribosomal RNA, 3071 nt
Filed under: Campylobacter coli
Lineage: Bacteria; Pseudomonadati; Campylobacterota; Epsilonproteobacteria; Campylobacterales; Campylobacteraceae
Description: 23S ribosomal RNA
Rfam family: Bacterial large subunit ribosomal RNA
Source: RNAcentral